RNAcentral lists this ribosomal RNA (441 nucleotides) under uncultured bacterium. RNAcentral's name for it is "partial 16S ribosomal RNA". It matches the Rfam family "Bacterial small subunit ribosomal RNA", at positions 338 to 795 of the family's 1533-position model. The record is from RNAcentral.
CCUACGGGUGGCAGCAGUGGGGGAUAAUGCACAAUGGGGGAAACCCUGAUGCAGCGACGCCGCGUGAGUGAAUAAGUAUUUCGGUAUGUAAAGCUCUAUCAGUAGGGAAGAAAAAAGACGGUAUCUGACCAAGAAGCCCCGGCUAACCACGCGCCAGCAGCCGCGGUAAUACGGAGGGGGCAAGCGUUAUCCGGAUUUACUGGGUGUAAGGGGAGCGUAGCCGGCAAUGCAAGUCGGAAGUGAAAUACCCGGGCUCAACCUGCGAACCGCAUUGGAGACUGUAAGGCUGGAGUGAUGGAGGGGUAAGCGGAAUUCCUGGUGUAGCAGUGAAAUGCGUAGAUAUUGGGAGGAACACCAGUGGCGAAGGCGGGUUACUGGACAGUAACUGACGUUGAGGCUCGAAGGCGAGGGGAGCGAACGGGAUUAGAUACCCGGGUAGUC